GGAGAGUUUGAUCAUGGCUCAGAACGAACGCUGGCGGCAGGCUUUACUCAUGCAAGUUGAACGGGAAGUCACCUUCGGGUGGCGGCGAGUAGCGCACGGGUGCGUAACGCGUAGGAAUAUACCAUAUAGUAGGGGAUAACCAUUGGAAACGAUGGCUAAUACCCUAUAGUCCCUUCGGGGUAAAGAUUUAUCGCUAUAUGAUUAGCCUGCGUUAGAUUAGCUAGUUGGUGAGGUAAUUGCUCACCAAGGCUACGAUCUAUAGCUGGUCUGAGAGGAUGAUCAGCCACACUGGAACUGAGACACGGUCCAGACUCCUACGGGAGGCAGCAGUGGGGAAUAUUGGACAAUGGGGGCAACCCUGAUCCAGCCAUGCCGCGUGAAUGAUGAAGGCUUCGGGUUGUAAAGUUCUUUUAAUGGUGAAGAUAAUGACGGUAACCAUAGAAAAAGCACCGGCUAACUCCGUGCCAGCAGCCGCGGUAAUACGGAGGGUGCGAGCGUUGUUCGGAUUUACUGGGCGUAAAGGGUGCGUAGGCGGAUAUUAAGGUCAGAUGUGAAAUCCCGAGGCUUAACCUCGGAACUGCAUUUGAAACCGAAUGUCUCGAAUAUGAUAGAGGAUGAUGGAAUUUCUAGUGUAGUAGUGAAAUGCGUAGAUAUUAGAAGGAACACCAGAGGCGGGGGCGGUCAUCUGGAUCAUCAUUGACGCUGAGGCACGAAAGCGUGGGUGGCAAACAGGAUUAGAUACCCUGG
RNAcentral lists this ribosomal RNA (747 nucleotides) under uncultured bacterium. RNAcentral describes it as "16S ribosomal RNA". It matches the Rfam family "Bacterial small subunit ribosomal RNA", at positions 6 to 790 of the family's 1533-position model. The record is from RNAcentral.